CCUACGGGUGUCAGCAGUGGGGAAUAUUGCACAAUGGGGGAAACCCUGAUGCAGCGACGCCGCGUGAGUGAAGAAGUCAUUCGUUAUGUAAAGCUCUAUCAGCAGGGAAGAAAAUGACGGUACCUGAGUAAGAAGCCCCGGAUAACUACGUGCCAGCAGCCGCGGGAAUACGUAGGGGGCAAGCGUGAUCCGGAGUUACGGGGUGUAAAGGGAGCGUAGACGGCAGUGCAAGUCUGGAGUGAAAGGCUGGGGCUCAACCCCCGGACUGCUCUGGAAACUGUACGGCUGGAGUGCAGGAGAGGUAAGUGGAAUUCCUGGUGUAGCGGUGAAAUGCGUAGAUAGUAGGAGGAACACCAGUGGCGAAGGCAGCUUGCUGGACUGUAACUGACGUUGAGGCUCGAAAGCGUGGGGAGCAAACAGGAUUAGAUACCCUAGUAGUC
This 440-nucleotide ribosomal RNA is filed under the name uncultured bacterium. Its description in RNAcentral is "partial 16S ribosomal RNA". It matches the Rfam family "Bacterial small subunit ribosomal RNA", at positions 338 to 795 of the family's 1533-position model. The record is from RNAcentral.